GACGAACGCUGGCGGCGUGCUUAACACAUGCAAGUCGAACGGGAAGGCCCUGCUUUUGUGGGGUGCUCGAGUGGCGAACGGGUGAGUAACACGUGAGUAACCUGCCCUUGACUUUGGGAUAACUUCAGGAAACUGGGGCUAAUACCGGAUAGGAGCUCCUGCUGCAUGGUGGGGGUUGGAAAGUUUCGGCGGUUGGGGAUGGACUCGCGGCUUAUCAGCUUGUUGGUGGGGUAGUGGCUUACCAAGGCUUAGACGGGUAGCCGGCCUGAGAGGGUGACCGGCCACAUUGGGACUGAGAUACGGCCCAGACUCCUACGGGAGGCAGCAGUGGGGAAUAUUGCACAAUGGGCGGAAGCCUGAUGCAGCAACGCCGCGUGCGGGAUGACGGCCUUCGGGUUGUAAACCGCUUUCGCCUGUGACGAAGCGUGAGUGACGGUAAUGGGUAAAGAAGCACCGGCUAACUACGUG
This 468-nucleotide ribosomal RNA is filed under the name uncultured bacterium. RNAcentral describes it as "partial 16S ribosomal RNA". It matches the Rfam family "Bacterial small subunit ribosomal RNA", at positions 28 to 507 of the family's 1533-position model. The record is from RNAcentral.